UGUUACCUACGGGGGGCAGCAGUGGGGAAUAUUGGGCAAUGGACGCAAGUCUGACCCAGCAACGCCGCGUGAAGGACGAAGGCUUUCGGGUUGUCACCUUCUUUUAAGGGGGCAGAGCAGCAGACGGUACCCCUUGAAUAAGCCACGGCUAACUACGUGCCAGCAGCCGCGGUAAUACGUAGGUGGCAAGCGUUGUCCGGAUUUACUGGGUGUAAAGGGCGUGCAGCCGGCGAGGCAAGUCAGAUGUGAAAUCCGCGGGCUCAACUCGCGACCUGCAUUUGAAACUGCUUCCCUUGAGUAUCGGG
This 305-nucleotide ribosomal RNA is filed under the name uncultured bacterium. RNAcentral describes it as "bacterial SSU rRNA". It matches the Rfam family "Bacterial small subunit ribosomal RNA", at positions 333 to 653 of the family's 1533-position model. The record is from RNAcentral.